Malaya genurostris is the source of this 650-nucleotide long non-coding RNA. RefSeq lists it as uncharacterized. The transcript has 3 exons. NCBI's taxonomy places the organism in Eukaryota, Metazoa, Arthropoda, Insecta, Diptera, Culicidae. The record is from RefSeq and is a predicted model, not a curated record.
UUGCGUUCAGACCGAACGAUCGAACUGUUUUGAUACUUAUUCGUAGCUGGAGGUUGAGUUUUGCUUGUUGCUCUAUCCCGAGCCGCUCCAGCUGGUGUGGUGACUUUUGAACAGAUGUACGAUCGAUUACCAACACUAGUAAAUUAGCAAAUCUGGUUUCUCUCAGAGCUUGCUCGAUCUAGUUUUGAUUGAGCGUCACGAUCAAUUUUUACCACAAAACAAAUUGUGAACAAAGCGGCCGGUAACAUCCGUUAAACGAAUGAAUUUCUGGAUGGAUGAGGAUGUCUACGACCACCCUGCAGCUUCAACGAUAGGUCAACGAUAAAGCAGUGUCACGUCAUCGAUAAGCGAUCGGAUUCAAUCAGUGAUCAGAUAAGGAUGGAGAAUGCUGUUCGUCACACUAUCACAUGCUACAUUUUCGGCUUGGACGGCUGGACUUCGAUGGAUCUUGAUCCUGCUAAGGUGCUGGAUUAGUGCCGUUCCAAAUUGCGACAGAGCUACAAGUAAGCCCACGUGGUUAAUUUUAUACUUACACUUAAAAAAGUCAUAAAAUAAAUGUUUUGUAGUAUGUUAAUUAGAAUAAAUUAUGUGUUUUGGCGCUACGUAUAUUGUGUUAGAUUGACAAAUAAACUUGUAUACUAAAACUUAAA